GUUGCUCAUUCAUCUGUUUAUGAUUGCCACCCCACAGCGGGCAGAGCUCAUAAAAUCCGAAUGACGCACCAAACGGAGCCUGUCGUCCACCCAACCGAUAAUCGUAUGUUCUGCAUCGUUAUCAAGCAUCGGACGCAACGUUGAGUUAGGCUCCACCCAUUCUCGCGUACUGCUAUGGCGGUGCGUCAACGGCAGGCCGUCGCGCCUGCCGUUUUCUU
This 218-nucleotide small RNA is filed under the name Pantoea ananatis. RNAcentral's name for it is "GlmZ RNA activator of glmS mRNA". The stretch from base 1 to 159 matches the Rfam family "Glm Y RNA activator of glmS mRNA". Rfam says of the family: This family consists of a number of bacterial RNA genes of around 167 bases in length. The function of this RNA is unknown. The record is from RNAcentral. Lineage: Bacteria; Pseudomonadati; Pseudomonadota; Gammaproteobacteria; Enterobacterales; Erwiniaceae.